This 1468-nucleotide unclassified non-coding RNA is filed under the name uncultured Pleosporales. RNAcentral describes it as "sequence contains 18S rRNA gene, ITS1, 5.8S rRNA gene, ITS2, 28S rRNA gene". The stretch from base 526 to 1468 matches the Rfam family "Eukaryotic large subunit ribosomal RNA", at positions 1 to 961 of the family's 3401-position model. Lineage: Eukaryota; Fungi; Ascomycota; Dothideomycetes; Pleosporales. The record is from RNAcentral.
GGAAGGAUCAUUACAAGAACCGAGGCUGGUCGCGCCUGUCGGGGCUCCGUCCCCGCUCAGGCUCCCGUCCAGCCCGCUCUUUACCUUGCCUACUGCACCGUUUGUUGCUCCCUGGCGGUGCGCGCCGCCGCCAGGGACCCCAUCAAAAGCCUUGUAUAAUAAGCAUUGAGCACCUGAUACGCACUAAAUCAUACAACUUUCAACAAUGGAUCUCUUGGCUCUGGCAUCGAUGAAGAACGCAGCGAAAUGCGAUAAGUAGUGUGAAUUGCAGAAUUCAGUGAAUCAUCGAAUCUUUGAACGCACAUUGCGCCCCUUGGUAUUCCAUGGGGCAUGCCUGUUCGAGCGUCAUCUAAACCCUCAAGCCCCCGGCACCGCCCUGCGGAGCCUGGCUUGGUGUUGGGCGUCUGUCCGUGCUUCCCGCGCGGACUCGCCCCAAAUGCAUUGGCAGCGUCCCCCAGCUCCGAGCGCAGCACAUUGCGCAGUGGGGCGUGGCGUGGCGCGCUUCCAGAAGCGAACCCCCAAGUUUGACCUCGGAUCAGGUAGGGAUACCCGCUGAACUUAAGCAUAUCAAUAAGCGGAGGAAAAGAAACCAACAGGGAUUGCCUCAGUAACGGCGAGUGAAGCGGCAACAGCUCAAAUUUGAAAUCUGGCCCCCUGCGGGGUCCGAGUUGUAAUUUGCAGAGGGUGCUUUGGCGUGGACGGCGGUCUAAGUUCCUUGGAACAGGACGUCACAGAGGGUGAGAAUCCCGUACGUGGUCGCCCGUCCUCGCCGUGUAAAGCCCCUUCGACGAGUCGAGUUGUUUGGGAAUGCAGCUCUAAAUGGGAGGUAAAUUUCUUCUAAAGCUAAAUACUGGCCAGAGACCGAUAGCGCACAAGUAGAGUGAUCGAAAGAUGAAAAGCACUUUGGAAAGAGAGUCAAAAAGCACGUGAAAUUGUUGAAAGGGAAGCGCUUGCAGCCAGACUUGCCCGUAGUUGCUCACCCGGACUUUUGCCCGGGGCAUUCUUCUGCGGGCAGGCCAGCAUCAGUUUGGGCGACCGGAUAACGGCCUCUGUCAUGUAUCUUCCUUCGGGAUGACCUUAUAGGGGAGGCGUAACGCGGCCAGCCCGGACUGAGGUCCGCGCAUCUGCUAGGAUGCUGGCGUAAUGGCUGUAAGCGGCCCGUCUUGAAACACGGACCAAGGAGUCUAACAUCUAUGCGAGUGUUUGGGUGUCAAGCCCGGGCGCGUAAUGAAAGUGAACGGAGGUGGGAACCCCUCGGGGUGCACCAUCGACCGAUCCUGAUGUUCUCGGAUGGAUUUGAGUAAGAGCAUGGCUGUUGGGACCCGAAAGAUGGUGAACUAUGCUUGAAUAGGGUGAAGCCAGAGGAAACUCUGGUGGAGGCUCGCAGCGGUUCUGACGUGCAAAUCGAUCGUCAAAUUUGGGCAUAGGGGCGAAAGACUAAUCGAACUAUCUAGUAGCUGGUUCCUGC